CAAGUACCGUGAGGGAAAGUUGCAAAGUACUUUGAAGAGAGAGUUCAAGAGGACGUGAAACCGGUAGGGUGGAAGCAGAUAAAGUUGACGAACGUGUGUCGUAUUCAGAACUACAAUUUGUGGUUUGUUUUUACGAUCGAUGUGGGCUGGCGUCUUUGGUUAACUUAGUGUCUGGCGGCAAUGGUGACCCUGCGGAGGGAUAAUCGGUUGUCGUGCGAUGCUUGGUAUGGCUAGAGGUUCGCUGGUCUUAUAGUCAUCGCUUUAUCUGACCCGUCUUGAAACACGGACCAAGGAGUGUAGCGCUUACGCGAGUCUUAGAGUGUGUCAAAACUUUGAGGCGUAACGAAAGUAAAUGUGGAUUUAUUCACUGACUUGGGAUGCGUUGUCUUUUUUGGAUAGCGUUGGACCAUGGUUUUAUCGUAAUCGCUUGCGAUGCGGUGAAAAUAGAGCGUAAGCGGGUGCGAACCCGAAAAGAUGGGUGAACUAUGCCCUGAGCCAGGAUGAAGCCGGAGGAAACUCUGGGUGGAAGUCCCGAAGCGGGUUCUGACGGCAAAUCGAUC
RNAcentral lists this ribosomal RNA (560 nucleotides) under unidentified. Its description in RNAcentral is "Steinernema sp. eAKP20.2_TH partial large subunit ribosomal RNA". It matches the Rfam family "Eukaryotic large subunit ribosomal RNA", at positions 345 to 903 of the family's 3401-position model. The record is from RNAcentral.